AAUCAAUAAAAACCCAUAUUUGGUCUUUCAUUUGUAAAUGUGAAUAAAGCACUGUCAAUACUAUUGCUCUUUACUCCACGGCUCGGCAUGAGAUACUUCCCUGUGCUGUGCAGCCAUAGUGAUUUGCCUGCUGAGAUCUCUCCGAGCCCCAAGCCAUGAACAAUAGGGUGGAUGUUUAAUGCGAAGCACUUGGAAUUUAUAAGAUGCUGAGCACAGGCCAAACCUCAUUUACUGAGCUCUAUUAAUAUGGCAGCUGGAGAUGAAAGGCUACGUGAAGCUGCUGAACUUGCUCUGCUCAAUGCAAGGAUGAGGCUUAGUUGUCUGCCAGCUGUACAAGAGGCACAGCCAGAGGGGGACCCAAGUGUGGCUGAUGCACCCCAGUAUAACCAGUGUUUGGGCAGCUGGAAUACUGUAAGGUUGUGAGGGCCACAGCAAUCUCCUGUGGAGAGGGUUUUGAAUUGGAGCAAGAUGCUCUUGUUGAAAAACUGAUCAAAAAUAGGGAUUUGAGCUGUAUUAUUGGUCAAUUCCUGCCCCCAUGCAGCUGCAAUUCCAGGAACCACUGCUGUGCCUAAUACACUUCCAGCCAGGAAUGUGAUUUGCAGCCUGUGUGGGGAUGAAAAACCCUUAGCAAUCUUACGGAAGUCUUCCUUUAACGUCAUAAGUGAGGAUGGAGAGAAAGAGCUGUUCCCUAACCAUUCCUGUGAACAGGCGGGAAGGUGUGUCCAGAUGGUGUGGCUGGGGUGGAAUGUUGGCACAGAACAGGAUGCAAAGCAUUCCUGCUAAAACAAAAGCCUUGCCAAGCACACGGGCCGGGAUGACUGAAACUCCGGAGUCCUGGACUAGCACUGAGCAGUCGGAGUAAACCCCCCAUUUCAACAAGUGGCUACAAGAGCUCUGUGAUGAAUUAAUCCUCUUUCACUACAGACCCAAUGUGCUUGAUUGACUUUGGUGCUGGUGGAAUUGAGAGCUUGAAGCUGUUGCUGCACGUGGAGUAUUUAUCGGGGCACCUCUCGCCCCAGAGAUGUGUGCUCCCAGGCUGCACAGUGCUCAGGAUCACUUCUCCUGCCCAGCUAUUGUCAUUAAGCUUGCAGGGACUUAAGUAUCUUGGUGAGCUGUGCCCUCUGUCAGGCUCUAGAUGGAACUGGUUAAAGAGUUAAAAACUAUUAGGGAGAGGCAGGCAGAAAGGGAUUGUACAGGCUUUGCUGCUGUGAGAAAACAGGGGUGUUUUUAAAAGGUACAUUUGGGAAGGGAGAAAGAGAUCUGAGCAAUUAUGGGAUUACUGGUUUGUUCUCACACUGUGCAGGGUUUUAGAAUAGAUCUUAAGGGAACGAAUACUCAAAGGCAUGGGGGAAAAUGGAAUGAAAUGGAGCAAGGUUUUACAAAAGGCGGAUUGGGCCUGACUAAUGUAGUGCAUUAGGAUGAGAUAGGUGGUUUCUUAGACAAAGGCAGUGGCCUUGCUGCAGACACAAAUAGAGCUUUUCAGUGGAAGCUGUCAUGUAAUAUGAAAAUAAAAAAGCUGAGAAAAAUUAAGUGAUUAAGCCUCAGUUAAAGGGAGAACAUCAGCUCUUGGGAAGGGUAGCAUGAGAGGACAAGACAGGCAUGGAAGGUGCUCCUCAAGGCCUGCCCAUGGGCCAAACCUGCUUAAAAUCACCUGGUGCAAAAACCUGAAGGCAUUUAGGUAAUUAGAAGGUAAUUAGAAGACAUGGACUCAAAUGCCAGCACCAGGGGCUGUGGUGAAAUAGGGUAGUGUGGUGGGAUACGGGCUUUGGCUGAUGGGGAGUGCUGGAAGUCCCUGUGCACCCGUAGCUGUCCUCGUGCAAGAUCUGUUUCAUGGUCCUGGUGUGCUACUUCUUGCCUUGAAAAGAGCCUCUUCAUCUUCUGCAUUCCUCUCCUACAUGUGAGGUCUCCUACUGCCAAUGAUCUACUGUGUCUCUCCCAUGUCACCCACAUCCUGAGAGCUCCACAUAGUCUAAAAAUGAUGAUACUCCAGGCAGAACAUGAAAACAUGGAAGUGCAUUUAUCUGUGCAUGGUAUCUAACCACGGAACACCUAAGUUCCUUGACACAAGAGAGCAGAGAAAAGGAAAAUAUAAGAUAGAAAACCAGACAAGUGCAUGUGAUGGAUAAGUCUCAUUUACUCUUCUCCCUUGGGAAGAGCAGCUGUGAGUGGCAUGACCUGCCUAGUUCACCCCCUCUUGCAGACAACACGCUGACAUUCAGCAGUUUGACUGUGCCCUCUGCUGUUAACAGAAAUACAGA
This is a long non-coding RNA of Neopsephotus bourkii (Bourke's parrot), 2258 nucleotides long. RefSeq lists it as uncharacterized. The transcript is spliced from 3 exons. Lineage: Eukaryota; Metazoa; Chordata; Aves; Psittaciformes; Psittacidae. The record is from RefSeq and is a predicted model, not a curated record.